UAACAAUGAUUUCCCCAGUAACGGCGAGUGAAGAGGAAAGAGCUCAAAGUUGGAACCUGUUUGGCUUAGCUAAACCGGAUUGUAAACUGUAGAAGUGUUUUCCUGACACGCCUGGUAAAAAAGUCCUUUGGAACAGGGCAUCAUAGAGGGUGAGAAUCCCGUCUUUGGCCAGAGCUGUUGUCUUUUGUGAUACAUUUUCAAAGAGUCAGGUUGUUUGGGAAUGCAGCCUAAAUUGGGUGGUAAAUCUCACCUAAAGCUAAAUAUUUGCGAGAGACCGAUAGCGAACAAGUACCGUGAGGGAAAGAUGAAAAGAACUUUGAAAAGAGAGUUAAACAGUAUGUGAAAUUGUUAAAAGGGAACCGUUUGGAGCCAGACUGGCUUGACUGUAAUCAAUCUAGGCUUCGGCCUGGAUGCACUUGCGGUCUAUGCCUGCCAACGACAGUUUUAUUUGGGGGAAAAAAUUAUUGGGAAUGUGGCCUUUCGAGGUGUUAUAGCCCUUUAAAAAAUACCCUGGAUUGGACUGAGGAACGCAGUGAAUGCCUUUAGGCAAGAUUGCUGGGUGCUUUCGCUAAUAAAUGCUAGAAUUUCUGCUUCGGGUGGUGCUAGUGUUUAAAGGUGGAACUCGCUUAGUAUAUUUUUUAUUCGCUUAGGUUGUUGGCUUAAUGACUCUAAAUGACCCGUCUUGAAACACGGACCAA
Molecule: ribosomal RNA, 698 nt
Filed under: Mucor moelleri
Lineage: Eukaryota; Fungi; Mucoromycota; Mucoromycetes; Mucorales; Mucoraceae
Description: eukaryotic LSU rRNA
Rfam family: Eukaryotic large subunit ribosomal RNA
Source: RNAcentral